GUGGGAGGGGGCUUGCUCCCGAUGGCGGUGGGUCAGUCCCAGAUGCAUUUACUGAGACUCCUCCAUCGGGAGCAAGCCCCCUCCCAC
This 87-nucleotide unclassified non-coding RNA is filed under the name Pseudomonas synxantha. The record is from RNAcentral. Lineage: Bacteria; Pseudomonadati; Pseudomonadota; Gammaproteobacteria; Pseudomonadales; Pseudomonadaceae.